UACGAAGGGGGCUAGCGUUGCUCGGAAUCACUGGGCGUAAAGGGUGCGUAGGCGGGUCUUUAAGUCAGGGGUGAAAUCCUGGAGCUCAACUCCAGAACUGCCUUUGAUACUGAAGAUCUUGAGUCCGGGAGAGGUGAGUGGAACUGCGAGUGUAGAGGUGAAAUUCGUAGAUAUUCGCAAGAACACCAGUGGCGAAGGCGGCUCUCUGGACCGAGACUGACGCUGAGGCGCGAAAGCGUGGGGAGCAAACAGG
Molecule: ribosomal RNA, 253 nt
Filed under: uncultured bacterium
Lineage: Bacteria
Description: partial 16S ribosomal RNA
Rfam family: Bacterial small subunit ribosomal RNA
Source: RNAcentral